GUGUUAGGUGACUGCGGAGGAUCAUUACAGUAUUUUGCCUGCGCUUAACUGCGCGGUGAACAUUACACACUGUGUUUUCUUUUUUGAACUCAUUGCUUUGGUCUGUCAUCAGAAAUGAUGUUGGGCCAGAGGUUUAACUAACUUCAAUUUUUAUUGAAUGGUUUAUUAAUUUUAAUUGUCAAUAUGAAAUUUAAUUUCAAAACUUUCAACAACGGAUCUCUUGGUUCUCGCAUCGAUGAAGAACGCAGCGAAUUGCGAUAAGUAAUAUGAAUUGCAGAUUUUCGUGAAUCAUCGAAUCUUUGAACGCACAUUGCGCCCCUUGGUAUUCCAAGGGGCAUGCCUGUUUGAGCGUCAUUUCUCUCUCAAAACCUUCGGGUUUGGUUUUGAGUGAUACUCUUAGUCAGACUAGGUGUUUGCUUGAAAAGUAUUGGCAGGAGCGGUGCAAUACAGCGCACUCGACAAUCAAUGUAUUAGGUUUAUCCAUCAUUGAAGUCUUGGAAACUGUUUGUUCAGGCCCAGCCUUACAAAAACAAACCAUGUUUGACCUCAAAUCAGGUAGGACUACCCGCUGAACUUAAGCAUAUCAUAAG
This 590-nucleotide ribosomal RNA is filed under the name Lizanozyma spartinae. Its description in RNAcentral is "eukaryotic LSU rRNA". The stretch from base 201 to 354 matches the Rfam family "5.8S ribosomal RNA". Lineage: Eukaryota; Fungi; Ascomycota; Pichiomycetes; Serinales; Debaryomycetaceae. The record is from RNAcentral.